This is an RNA transcript of Phacochoerus africanus (Common warthog), 5916 nucleotides long. It is a transcript of the gene named zinc finger protein 616-like, with no coding region annotated. The transcript is spliced from 5 exons. The record is from RefSeq and is a predicted model, not a curated record. Lineage: Eukaryota; Metazoa; Chordata; Mammalia; Artiodactyla; Suidae.
GCCUUGCUCAGUGGGUUAAGGAUCUGGCACUGCUGCAAGCUGCAGCGAAGGCCGCAGAUGCCUCUCGAAUCCAGUGUCGCUGUGGCCGUGACUGUGGCGUCGGCCUGCGCUGCAGCUCCAAUCGACCCCUAGCCCGGGAACUUCCGUGUGCUGCAGGUGCAGUCCCAAAAAUAAAAAAAAAAUAAAGAAAAGAAACCCACCUCUGGCUAGAUAUCCAGAGGAAACAAAAUCAGGACGGUGAGGGAAGCAUUUGGACUCCAAUAAGCAUUACUGCAUCAUUCGUUAACAAAAUGUCUAAAGAACCGAAAUGUUUGAUCACAGAUGAAUUGAUAGAGAAAUUUAUGUCAGCCAUAAAUUAUUAUUCUAACAUCUGACAGUAUCAUUAUUGUUACUUCUGACAUUAUUGGACUGAAAAAGACGCGUAGACAGAUAUCCGAAAUGUCAAACUCAUAGCGCCGUAGACUCUGCAGUUUGUUACAUGGGACUGAGUGGCAUGACAAUUAGGGAGCUGUCGGCCAGAGGUUACCCACACUCAGUUGUGCCCUGAAGAGGUACCCCGUGUCGAUCUAGUGUGAAGUGUGCCCACUGCCAUUAAUGCUGUGUUACUGUAUGCGUGGAAAUUGCUCAGCGAGUGAAACUUAAGGAUUCUCACCACACAGACGCCCACUGGUAGUUGUGAGUCGACGGAAAUGUCGGUUAUGUCACUGUCAACAUCUCUACGCAUCCGAACGUCUGACAGGCAGUCCCGUCGGGUGCUUCGUAUGAACUCCAUUGUUUGUCAUCAAUUAUGUGCUAAGAAAGCUGGAAAAGCAAACAGGAAUGAGAGGUGUCCUGGGCCCGCCCCCUCUGAGUGGUGCUCAACCCAGGUUUCACGUCCGAUGGUUGGUGUGUUUUGCAUAUACGUGUUCCGUGCCCUUUGACUAGAGAGUCUCCUUUGAAUAGUGGAUGUGGGGCCUCAACAAUAGUUAAGGCCCCCCCAGGUGAUUCCAAUCCGGAUCCAUCCUUGAGCAGCAAGGCUCCGCGUCCUCCCAAUCCUGAGGGCUGGGAUCUGGGCUGAGGGGGCGGGGGCUCUGCUCUGUACGGGGAUGGAGCAGGGCUGGUCUGUGACCUGCUGGGGGUUGUGGGGUACAGCGGAGGUGCCCACGGCUGCGGUGUGGGUGAGGGCCUCACCAGAAGAAUACUGUGAUCUUAAGAAAAGUCUGGGAAAACUCCUUUGUGGGUCUUUAUGGGAGUUUCCUGUCCUGAGUCCCUCCUGGGACCGUGGGCAGCAGAGGCCUGUCUCUUCCACAUGGUGUGGUCUCCCCUCUGUGUGUGGUUGUGGCACAGGAAGGAGGCGUGUGGAUCCUACACUUUAGGAACCUUCUCACCUUUCAAGAUUGACUUCGAAGCCUCAUGUUGCCUGAGCAAGAAGCCCAGCAGGGGAGGAGGAGGAAGAGGAAGGAAGACCAGGAGUCAGGAAUGGCUGUUUCUCAGGGACCAUUGACCUUGGAGGACGUGGCCAUCGAGUUCUCCCCGGAGGAGUGGGCCUGCCUGGACCCUGCCCAGAGGGCCUUGUACAGGGACGUGAUGCUGGAGACCUACAGGAACCUGCUCUCCCUGGAUAUCUCUCCUAUACUUGUGAUUAAGAAAUUACAACCGAAAGUAAACACUGAUAGAGGAGAAGCAUUCCAGACAGUGAAGCUGCAAAGACAGGAAAGGAACAAAAUCAAACAUUUUUACCUGAGGGAAAUCCAGGGAAGCACAUACGACCUUGAGGCUCAGCAGAGAGAUGAGGAAAGAACUGACAAAGGAAUGGCUGUAACGCAACACGAAAAUCUCACCGCUAAGCGAGAUCGACAUGGUACCAGUAUUGCAGGGAUCAGUCCUGCUGGUAGCAGGUUUGCAGUAAGCUUUCAGGAUGAACUGCAAGGAUUUAAAAGUGCAGAGAAAAUUCUUCAAGCUGACACGAGUCUCCGUAGUCGUGCAUCAUUUUCACCACCUCAAACAGUGUCUCCUGUCAUCCAAGCCAACAUCCCUAACACAAAUGGGAGUGAUUUUCCGCCUCCUUCCAUACUGACGCAAGACCAUCGUGAACACAGGGAAAGCCCGCACAGAUAUAAUCGGGGGAGUGAAACUUUUCAUCAGGACCUAAACCUCACUGAAUCUCCGAUCAUCCUUGCAGGAGAGAAAGUACAUGACUGUGAACUUUGCGGCAAAGUCUUUCGUCUGAACUCAGAUCUUGCAGUUCAUCUGAGAAAUCAUACUGGAGAGAAAGCUUACAAACCUGUGCGUGGCCAAACCCUGAGUCCCGGCGCACACAACACAGGACCUCCGACAAGCCGUAUAGACGAGAACGUGUAUACAUGUGAGGUGUGCAAAAAAGCCUUCCGUCGAAAGUCAUACCUCGCCAUGCAUCAGCGAAUUCAUGCUGCAGAGAAAGCCUACACCUGUGAUGUGUGUGGCAAGAAGUUUCAUCACAGUUCGAAUCGAAGGAGACAUCAGAGAAUCCACACGGGAGCCAAGCCGUACGCAUGUGACGUGUGCGGUAAAGGCUUUAAUCGCAAUUCAAUCCUCGCGCUUCAUCGGCGAAUUCACACGGGCGAGAAGCCCUACAAGUGUAACUCGUGUGGCAAGGUCUUUAGCCGAAAAGGAACCCUUGCGAGUCACCAGAGGAUUCACACGGGAGAGAAACCUUACAGAUGUACCCAGUGUGGCAAAACCUUUCACCACCGCUCCGUCCUCCUGCGCCAUCAGAUGAUCCAUCAGGGGCUGAAGUUGCAUAAAUGCGAUGUCUGCGGCAACGUUUAUAGUCGCAGAUCAAAUCUUGUCAUUCAUCACAGGACUCACACUGGAGAGAAACCUUACACAUGCCAUGCGUGCGGCCAGCUCUUCAGUCAGAAAGCAUCCCUUGCGUGUCACCAGGCAGUUCAUACGGGAGAGGAGCCUUACAGAUGCAGUGAGUGCGGCAAAAGCUUCCACCACAGUUCAAACCUCAGGAAACACCAGCUCCUUCAUAAAGGAGGGAAAGAAUAUAAAUGCGAGGUGUGUGGCAAAGUCUUCAGUCAAAAUGCAUACCUCGCAAAGCACCAGAGACUUCACUCUGGAGAGACCCCUUACAGGUGCAGCGACUGUGGGAAGGUCUUCAGGAAAAAAGCAAUUCUUACACUUCAUCAGAGGACACAUACCGGAGAGGAGGACGCUUAUCAAUGUCACGAGUGCGGCAAAGUCUUUUGUCAGAAAGGCACCCUUGCAAGGCAUCGGCUCAUCCACGCUCAAGCCACACCUUACACAUGUGAUGCGUGUGGCAAAACCUUUGAUCAGCGCGCAACCCUCGCUCGCCAUCAGGCAACCCACGCAGGUGAGAAAUUACAUAAAUGUGAUAUCUGUGGCAGAAUCUAUCGUCGAAAGUCAGACCUUGCCGUUCAUCAGAGAAAUCACACCGGCGAGAAGCCCUACCGAUGCCAUGAGUGUGGCAAGACCUUUAAUUACAGAUCGAAACUCAGUCGCCAUCAGCUAAUCCACACGGAAGAGAAACUGUAUAAAUGCGAUGUGUGCGGCAGAGUCUUCAGUCAAAAUUCCUAUCUUGCCAGACACCAGAGAAUUCACACUGGAGAGAAGCCUUAUGAAUGUAGUGCCUGUGGCAAAACCUUUAAUGAUAAGUCCGCCUUCAGCCGACAUCAGAUGAUCCACACAGGAGCAAAACCUUACAAGUGUGAUGUGUGUGGCAGCGUGUUCCGUCGCCGUUCACACCUUGCCGGGCAUCAGAGAAUUCACACUCAAGAGAGACCGUAUACAUGCAAUGUCUGCGGCAAGGUGUUUACCCAGAAUUCACAUCUUAGGGUGCAUCAGAGGGUUCACACUGGAGAGAAACCUUACAAAUGUCACGAGUGCGGCAAGGUCUUUAGUCAGAACCCAACCCUUGCAAAGCAUCAGAGGAUUCACACCCAAAAGAAACCUUAACGAUGUCGCGAGCGUGGUCAAGUCUUCAGUGAAGAGUCUCGGCUUGAAACUCAGUGGAAAAUCCAUGCUGUGCAGAAACCUUUCCUUCCGAAGGGUUGCGUGUGGAAACGCCUUCAGUCAGAUUUCUACCCUCUUCAGGUAAUGGGUACACAGGGGACGUCAUGCUGAUGUGACCUGUUUGGCAAGGACGUCAGUAAACACGGACACUUUAAAUCCACGGGCCAUUCAUAGUGGGGAGAACGGGUGUGAAUAUCUUAAGUGUGGCAGAGCCUUACGUCCAACCGCGGAGCCCCUGCUCGACAGAAACCGGAGCAACCUCGUGCCUGUCUCAGGGGUCUUAAGUCAAAAUUCAUGCCUUCACGAUCCACCAAGAAAUUCCAACUGGAGAGAAACCUCACAAGUAUCAGGAGUCUGGGGAAUUCGUCAGUGUACUUUCAAGCCUAACUUACUGUCAGGUCAUCCCUAUUGGGAGAGAUUUUAAUAGAGCAAGGGUUUUAGCAGGUGUCCCCAUCCACGCGUUAUUGGAGAAGUUACGCUUGAGAGAAAUCAGGUGCAUGUAUUUCAUAUGACCAGGCUUUCAGACCAGAAAGUCAUUCACCAAAGAAUUCACUCUGCAGAUGACCUCACACAGGCCACGCGUGGGAAGAACCUUUACUCAGGGCUCACAUCUCACAAAUCAUCAGACUAUCCCCACAGGACAGAGUAUGACAGAGGUGCCGAAGGUGGCAACGCUCUUCUCUUGUGCCUUAAACGAAGCCUUCACCAAAUGCUCCAUGCUUACAAAUUGAGUGAACAUGGCAAUUUCAAAGUAUUGCACACUCACCCCUGGACACCAGAGUAUACGUCCUGGAAGAAAAACCAUCAGAAUGCAGUGUGCGUGGCAAAGAUUUUACCCAAUGAUUCCAAGAUGGGAAGGUCCUGAAAUAAUACCUUCCAAACGCAAGGAGUGUAGCAAAACCUUCUACCUGAGGUUCAAAUAUUCGGUAACGUGGGCAUUUCGUUUGAAACCAUACAAUUGCGGGGGCAGAGGCUUUACCCAGUCCUUGCAAGGAACUAGACUCUUCAGUGUACAUGUUUGAGAAGCCACACAAAGCAGUGUGUGUGCCAAGGUUGGUACCUGAAGAUGGAAGCUGUGAAACGUAGAGAAUUAACGUUGGAGAGCCGCGUUUCGGAUGCAGUGAGGGUUGUUGACAUUUUCAUCAAGUGUUGACAACGUCGACGUGACGUUAUGUCAAUAUUUUGAAGUCUGUGGCUCUUAUGCCUUUGCUUCAGGCCUUUCAGGGUUGUCCCUGGGCAGGAAUCCGCAGGAUAAUACACCUGACAGCAUUAGGUGGGGUUCCCUCGCAUCCACGUUCCCUGGACAGAGCGGGGCCCUGGGUUUUCUGGUUCAACAGCACGUGCAUUUGCCUUAGAGAAAACCCCAGGCAAAACCGUGACACGACUCAUCCUGCUUGUCGGGCUCCGGGCGCUCUUCCGUAGACAGGCUGCUGCGGGUUACAGGACAGAAUCCUCUCCCGGCUGACGGUGAACGGAGCAGGAUGGGCAUCAGGGAGCCCCGUUUUUCCCACGAGCAGAGUGAGAGGUUCCCAGGCACUGAUUAUGCAGUGGAAACAAUGCUCAGGGGACGUGAUUGGUGGCAUGGUGACCAGAAGCUGCACUGUAUGUUGAGCAGGACAUCCUCUUUGCUCUGUGGUUGUCACAGCCCUUUGGGGGGCUGUGCCUGCUUGGCAGCUGUUGGAGUAGAAGCCCCCACACCUGGUUCUGAGCUGCAGUAGGAAGAAGGCAGGACUGGAGCCUUGUUCCUGCCCAGGAGCUGCCCAAGGCAGUGCCAGAGGCAUGCAGAAGUUUUCAGCCCUGCGACUGAACACAUUCCACCACCAGAUCCUCAACCACUAGGCCACCAGGAAACUCCCUCUUACAGCUUUGAUUGUAUGAAAUCUUCUGCCAGCAUUCAGCAGGUGUUCUGUGAGAAUUGUU